Molecule: ribosomal RNA, 490 nt
Filed under: uncultured bacterium
Lineage: Bacteria
Description: partial 16S ribosomal RNA
Rfam family: Bacterial small subunit ribosomal RNA
Source: RNAcentral
GAUGAACGCUCGCGAUAGGCUUAACACAUGCAAGUCGAGGGGCAGCAUGGUCUUAGCUUGCUAAGACUGAUGGCGACCGGCGCACGGGUGCGUAACGCGUAUGCAACUUGCCUCACAGAGGGGGAUAACCCGUCGAAAGACGGACUAAUACCGCGUACACUUGGGAUAGGGCAUCCUGACCCAAGGAAAUGAAAUUCGCUGUGAGAUAGGCAUGCGUCCCAUUAGCUAGUUGGUGAGGUAACGGCUCACCAAGGCGACGAUGGGUAGGGGAACUGAGAGGUUGAACCCCCACACUGGUACUGAGACACGGACCAGACUCCUACGGGAGGCAGCAGUGAGGAAUAUUGGGCAAUGGGCGAGAGCCUGAACCAGCCAAGUCGCGUGAAGGAUGACUGUCUUAUGGAUUGUAAACUUCUUUUAUACGGGAAUAACAAGAGCCACGUGUGGCUCCCUGCAUGUACCGUAUGAAUAAGCAUCGGCUAACUCCGUG